AACGAACGCUGGCGGCAUGCCUAACACAUGCAAGUCGAACGAGACCAUCGGGACUGGUGGCGCACGGGUGCGUAACGCGGGGGAACCUGCACUUAGGUUCGGAAUAACACUCCGAAAGGGGUGCUAAUACCGGAUAAUGUCUUCGGACAAAAGAUUCGUCGCCCUUGGAUGGGCCCGCGUUGGUUUAGCCAGUUGGGAGGGUAAAAGCCGAUCAAGGCGACGAUCCAUAGCGGGUCUGAGAGGAUGAUCAGCCACACUGGGGCUGGGACACGGCCCAGACUCUUACGGGAGGCAGCAGUGGCGAAUCCUGCACAAUGGGCGGAAGCAUGAUCCAGCUAUGCCGCGUGAGUGAUGAAGGCCUUAGGGUUGUACAGCUCUUUUACCCGGGAUGAUAAUGACAGUACCGGGAGAAUAAGCACCGGCUAACUCCGUG
RNAcentral lists this ribosomal RNA (433 nucleotides) under uncultured bacterium. RNAcentral's name for it is "partial 16S ribosomal RNA". It matches the Rfam family "Bacterial small subunit ribosomal RNA", at positions 29 to 507 of the family's 1533-position model. The record is from RNAcentral.